GCCUUCGUGGUGUAGCUGUCAGCACGCUCGACGCGUAACCGAGAGGUCCGUGGUUCGAUUCCCUGCGAAGGCG
RNAcentral lists this transfer RNA (73 nucleotides) under Stegodyphus mimosarum. It matches the Rfam family "tRNA". From Rfam's summary of the family: Transfer RNA (tRNA) molecules are approximately 80 nucleotides in length. Their secondary structure includes four short double-helical elements and three loops (D, anti-codon, and T loops). The record is from Rfam by way of RNAcentral. Lineage: Eukaryota; Metazoa; Arthropoda; Arachnida; Araneae; Eresidae.